RNAcentral lists this ribosomal RNA (492 nucleotides) under uncultured bacterium. RNAcentral's name for it is "partial 16S ribosomal RNA". It matches the Rfam family "Bacterial small subunit ribosomal RNA", at positions 29 to 507 of the family's 1533-position model. The record is from RNAcentral.
AGUGAACGCUGGCGGUAGGCCUAACACAUGCAAGUUGAACGGCAGCACAGUAAGAGCUUGCUCUUACGGGUGGCGAGUGGCGGACGGGUGAGGAAUACAUCGGAAUCUACUUUUUCGUGGGGGAUAACGUAGGGAAACUUACGCUAAUACCGCAUACGACCUACGGGUGAAAGCAGGGGAUCUUCGGACCUUGCGCGAUUGAAUGAGCCGAUGUCGGAUUAGCUAGUUGGCGGGGUAAAGGCCCACCAAGGCGACGAUCCGUAGCUGGUCUGAGAGGAUGAUCAGCCACACUGGAACUGAGACACGGUCCAGACUCCUACGGGAGGCAGCAGUGGGGAAUAUUGGACAAUGGGCGCAAGCCUGAUCCAGCCAUACCGCGUGGGUGAAGAAGGCCUUCGGGUUGUAAAGCCCUUUUGUUGGGAAAGAAAAGCAGAAGGUUAAUACCCCGCUGUUCUGACGGUACCCAAAGAAUAAGCACCGGCUAACUUCGUG